Brassica napus (rape) is the source of this 1170-nucleotide long non-coding RNA. RefSeq lists it as uncharacterized. NCBI's taxonomy places the organism in Eukaryota, Viridiplantae, Streptophyta, Magnoliopsida, Brassicales, Brassicaceae. The transcript is spliced from 5 exons. The record is from RefSeq and is a predicted model, not a curated record.
CAACGAGAAGAGUGGUUGAGACGAAGGAGAGAUCUGAGCAACUUUCUCAAUCUCCAGAGAGAUAUGCUUCAAACUGAGAAUUCUCAACAAAAAGGGAACUUGGGGGAGCUUGGUGUGCCUAAUCAUCACAGGAGACAUACCCUUCUUAUCAAAUUUCGAUGUUUCCAGUUGUACAGUAAGAUUGGUAUGAGGAUGAGUGAAGAAGCAGAGUCUAAGGCUUUCUACAAGCAGAGUCUAAGUGGUCAAAGGCUUUUCUAAGGUGCUGCAAGAUUCCUAAGGAAUCGAACAGAUGGAUGAUACAUUCUUCCAUCACAAAAACGACUCAGCGUCAGCUUAAGAGAUUCUCUUAAUGCGGUUAAUGUCGUAAUGGGUGAAGAUGAAGAAGAAGACCCUGAAGAAAACCCUGAAGAAGACCCUGAAGAAGGGGAAACAAUGAAGGUGGCACGAAUUUGGUUUAAAUCUCUCCAAGCUAGGAAAGAGGCGAGUUCUUUUCUAUUGGGUUAUUGUCUACUAUAUUUUAUUUCUAUUUCGUUCUUAUCUAACAUUAUUAUUUUUGGAGAAGAAGUGAAUGGAGUUCCCAUUCGUCUUGUACGUGCUGCGAACCAUCGGAUUGUUUUGUUAGUGAGAGGCCUUGAUCCUGAAAAGUCAGAAUCAGAUAUCAAGGCUCAACUAACAAAACAUUUUGAUUCGUGCGGUGGGAUCAAGAAAAUCUUAUUCCUAAAGAUGAAAACGGUCGCUGUUUAAGUUUUGGAUACGUCUUUAUGGUUCAGGAAGGUCAUAAAGCAGAGAUGAAGGAUUCAUCUGUAAUGGAAGGUGGUGGUGUGAUCAGGGUCUCAGAUUGCACCUCCAGGCGAGGUUUAAGAAAAUUAAGGAAAAGAUGGAGGCGGAGGGGUGGGUGAAUUCUGAGGAGGAAGAGGAAGAGGAAGAGGAUGAGGAAGAUGGGAUAGUGUUUGGGGAUGAAGAGAUUGAGGAUGAUGAUUCAGAGGGUUCUGAGUAGGUAAAUAAAUUCAGAGGAUGGUUGGUUUAGUUAUUAAGGGUUUGGUCAUUUUGUUAUAGACCUAAACAAUCUAUCUAUCUAAUUAUAAAGUAUGGUAUGGUUCUCUCUCCUGUCAGUGGGCCACCUCGGAUUCCACGUAGGAGCUGACAUGUCCUCAGUUUUCGUUUUGAUUA